UUCUCACAACUCUAGUUUAAGUUCUCCAUCUUCCACAUCCCUCUGAUUCCACUAAAAAGCCUUGAACUCACGGUGGGUACUGAGGCUGGUGAUCACGACAGGCAUUUUUUCCCCUCGCCGUGGCUAGGUGCAGUCAACAUCCCUCUGUGUCUCUUUUCUCAAGUUCUAGUAUCCUUCGCCUGUGGUGAAGCUUACGCGUCUGCCUGAUUGAUUUGUACCGCACAGAGCUGCCCAGAACGCCGCCUUGACAGACGGUGAACACCCCCAUGGACAGGGCCAACGUCGUCUGACCCAACUGUAGUUCAUUCAAGACGAUUUUGGUGAGCACCGUAACCUAGCAUGGUCACUGAUACUCUCCGUGCUUUACGUUUGAAUGCUACCGAGUGGAAGAGGUGGGAACGGCUCGUCGGAGUUUCGGUUUUCGCCACCGCCGUGGCUAGAAAUGAUCUCGAGCGCUUGAGGCCGAUUGAGCGGGAAAACGUUGGGAGGUGAUUUCGGGGGUCACGUUGUUGUACCCAGGUUCGUCGAAGAGGGUCCUCGACGGCGAGCCCAAUCCUGGGUGGCUGGCGGUGAGGUUUUCGCCGUCGUGGACCGGCGUUUGUAAAUAAGGGAGGAGGCAGGGACAUCAGUGCUCAUGUCAGUGAGAGGGGAGAAUAAUGUUUGAUCUCGUAACUAAUUAAUCAGGGCGGCAGGGGUUUCUGCGCAAAAACGCACAGCGCGAGCGCGGGCGGACGGCGCGGGGCCGGUUUCUCUGCUGUUAGUGGGCCGCACGGGUUGGUUUCGGCCCAGUCUCUGUUAGAACGUUGUCUUUUUCUUUUAGCUGCCAACUUGUAAAAUGCACAAAAAAUACAGUAAAAUGUAAAAAUUGUGAAACCAAUUUUAUUGAGUUCACAAAAUUAUGUAGUUUCUGCUCGAAACAUUUCUAGGAUUUUUACGGCAAUAAUUAAAUUUUUGAGUAUUUAAGUGCUUCUAGAAAGCUUAAAUGAAUUUUAGAAAUAAAACCAGAGCACCAAAAACUAUGAAAAUUUGUAGAAAGAUUAUAUAACCAUAGAAUAGCUUCUAGUAAAAUUUUGAAUUUGUUUGGAAUUGAUUUACUUAGAGAACCAGAAACAAGAUAAGUAGACAUAAUUGAAACCUUAACUCUUGGUGCAAAUUUAGGAUUAAAUCAAACUUGAGCCAUACUUAAUGUUAAACUAUAACUUGGUCAAGUAGAACUUGAAGAAUUCUCUGAUUUCUCUAACGGGGCGUUUGGAUUCCUUCAUUUUAGAGGAAUUGGAAUUCACUCAAUAAAGUAACUUAUUUAGUUUGGAAUUUGACAUUCCACCGCUUUCCAAAGUUCAUAUAUUAGUAUAUCUCAAAUUCAUGAGGUGGAGGAUGGGAAAUGGUUUUAUGCAUGAGUAGAAUUUGUUUCUACUCUAUAACUUACAUGACACUCUUUGUCUCACACUACUCUAUAGUAAACAUGUAGCACAUAAAUAUCUCCGACAUCUUGGUAAUAAUAGUAUACAAAUAUAUUUUAUAUAAAAUCGAAUUAUCUUAAUUAUUAUAUGCCUAAAUUACUAUUAUUAGAAUGAAAUUCAAUUCUAAUGAUCCAAACGAGACGUAAAGUAAGUUUAUUAUGAUCCCUUUAGAUAAAGAUUAUACUACCUAGAAACAUGAGUAUAAGUGUCUUGUGCUUAACUUAGAGUCUAUAAGCUUUCUACCUCUCCCCAAGCGAGAAUUUGCAUAGCAUAUCAUUACAUAAGCAUUCAUAUACUUCGAAUUGACUUGUAGAGCACCUUGAAGAAGAAUUUAAAGUGGAAGUUGGAAGGGGAGCCUGUUCCUCCAUCUGAAACUUCUCCAACUGAGGUUAUCACUGAAGGUCAUCCGGAAGGUGCCCCAUUUGGAUUUGCUGCUAAUUAUAAUAUCCUGGUAGAAGAACCCAACUCUCCUCCUCACCAAGGCAAGCCCCGGUGCAUUUGCCCCUUCCUUGUAUUUUUAAAAGAUUUUUAUACACUUUAAAUCUAGUGAAAUGUGCAUUAAGUUUAUAGGAGUUGCUUGGAAACUAUUGGAUGCAUUGACUACCUUGAUAUCCAUUCCUGUUAUAGGUACUUCUUUGGAAGUAUCAAAUAUUGUUUACCAAAAUGCUUAGACCUGCUUAGAUCUUGUGGAUAGAGGUUGUCUUUUGCAAUAAUGCCUAGCUCAGGGGUUAUCCUGAGGAAGGAUGACUUCUACCUGCAAGAAUAUUUUCAUUGGGAGCAUGGUGGGAUCUUACUGCAAAGUUCCCUAUAAUGCUCUUUUCAUCCUAAGGAACACAAAACAAUCCUAAGGAUGGAAGUACUUAAAUCGUGACUUGGGCUAGGAACAGGUGAUCCUCCACCCAGGUUAAUUAAGGAUUGGAUGCGUAUGUAGGCUUGUAUGCUAUCUUAACUGGCCACAUGCCCUGGAUAUGGGACAGGGUAAGCUUGAACCCGGCUAUUCCAUACAUGAAAAGACAAUUGCGCACUCGGAGUGGAGAGAUGGCGAGAGUGGCACGUACCCUCCUGGCAAAGGACCGCCUAAAAGGGGUGGUGUGCUCUCGGGUGGCGCGGACCUGUUCAUGCAGUGGAGGAUCCGUGGGAAUGGUAGACAUAUGCAAGAGUCACGAGAAACAUAUGUCGUGUGGUUAGAGAUCCUCAGCUGAGUAAAUCGAUUCAGAUCGCCAUUAUAUCCCCAGAUAGUGGAGACUUGAUCUCCGACCUACAACCUAAGUCAGGAUGUAAACAUUAUGAGUAAAAAUGAUGUUGUAUUGAUGAGAUGGUGAAAUUAGACUAGAUGCAACCAGAUUCUAUUAAUAUUUAAUCUGGCGUUAAAGUAUUGAAAGUAAGGACUCACUUUAGUAAGCUAUUUCUGCAAAAGUAUCUAAGUUGAUUCUUGCUAAAGCCUUUUCCUUGAUUCCUAUUUAACCAGCAUAUCCUUGAGAGUCAUUUUCCUUAGUCGGGUAAGACUUGCGAAAGUAUACUCCGUACUCAGGGUUUUCGAACCCAUGUUGUUGUAGGUGAUGAGGAGUACUCUAAGUGUUCCUGUGGCUAGAGGGCGUUUCCAGUUCUAGAGGAGGAUUUGUUAGGCUUGUGUAUAAGCUUUGGAGGGUUCCUACCUUCCUGCUAUGGUAAUAAGAUAUGCACUUUAAGUAUAUCAGGACUUGUAAUAAAUGUAACUCUUCCUAUGUAAUAACCUUCAGUUUUAGAAAUGAAAAGAAUGUUUUGUAAAGUCUUCCGCUCUUAUCUCCGAAGUGUGUGUAUCUAAUGUUGAUUACUGUAAUAUGCAUGUAUGGUGGGAGAUCCUUGGGAUAAUGAGUUCAAGUUGUUGAACUCGUGAUAGCCUUGUUAAGUUACCAGGUACACGUGCAUAGCCAUCUGAGGCCAUCAAGGCAAGAAUUGGUGCACGUGGGCCCGAUAACUUGGGAGGGCUGCCACAGCGAACACAACACGACAGCGUGCAAACAGUGCGCGAACACGCUGAAAGUCGCCUAGAGGGGGGUGAAUAGGAAAAUCUAAAAUUUAUAAACUUUAAGCACAACUACAAGCCGGGGUUAGCGUUAGAAAUAAAGUCAAGUCUGAAAGAGAGGGCGAAAACAAAUCACAAGCAAAUGAAAGCGGAUGACACAUUGAUUUGUUUUACCGAGGUUCGGUUCUUGCAAACCUACUCCCCAUUGAGGUGGUCACAAAGACCGGGUCUCUUUCAACCCUUUCCCUCUCUCAAACGGUCACCUAGACCGAGUGAGCUUUUCUCCUUAAUCAACGGGUCACUUAGACCCCUUACAAGGACCACCACAACUUGGUGUCUCUUGCUUGAUUACAAGUUGCUUGAGAACAAGAAUGGAGGAAGAAGAAAAGCGAUCCAAGCGACAAGAACUCAAAUGAACACGAAUAUCUCUGUCUCACUAGCCACUAAGUGUUUGGAGUGAAUUUGGACUUGGAGAGGAUUUGAUCUCUUGAUUUGUGUCUUGGAGUGAAGUCUAGAGCUCUUGUAUUGAAUGCAAUGGCUGAAAACUUGGAUGCCUUGAAGUGUGGUGGUUGGGGGGUAUUUAUAGCCUCAACCACCAAAAUGGCCGUUGGGGAGGCUGUUAGUCGAUGGGCGCACCGGACACUGUCCAGUGCGCCAGCCACGUCACCCAACCGUUAGGGUUCGACCGUUGGAGCUCUGACAGCCUGGGCCACCGGACAGUCACUGUUCACUGUCCGGUGCGCCAUCUGGCGCCUGCUCUGACUCUGCGCGAACUGUCCGCGCACUGUAGCGCACUGUUCACCUUUUGCAGACGACCGUUGGCGCUGUAGCCGUUGCUCCGCAUGGCACACCGAACAGUCCGAUGAAUUAUAGCGGAGUGGCUUUUCUAGAAACCCGAAGGUGGCGAGUUCGAGUUGAUCCACCCUGGUGCACCGGACACUGUCCGGUGCGCCAGACCAAGGAAGCCUUCAGUUUCUUUUGCUCAUUUCUUUUUGAACCCUAUCUUGGACUUUUUAUUGGUUUGUGUUGAGUCUUUGGCACCUGUAGAACUUAUAAUCUAGAGCAAACUAGUUAGUCCAAUUAUUUGUGUUGGGCAAUUCAACCACCAAAAUCAUUUAGAAAAAGGUUUGAGCCUAUUUCCCUUUCAAUCUCCCCCUUUUUGGUGAUUGAUGCCAACACAAACCAAAGCAAAUAUAUAAGUGCAUAAUUGAACUAGUUUGCAUAAGGUAAGUGCAAAGGUUGCUUGGAGUUAAACCAAUUUAAACUUUCAUAAGAUAUGCAUGGAUUGCUUUCUUUCUUUUAACAUUUUGGACCACGCUUGCACCACUUGUUUUGUUUUUGCAAAUGUUUUUGGAAAUUAUUUUUCACAGUCUUUUUGCAAAUAGUAAAAGGUAAAUGAAUAAGAUUUCAAGAAGCAUUUUCAAGAUUUGAAAUUUUCUCCCCCUGUUUCAAAUGCUUUUCCUUUGACUAAACAAAACUCCCCCUGGAUGAAAUUCUUCUCUUAGUGUUCAAGAGGGUUUUACAAAUUGAGAGAAUGUCAGAUACUUUAGAUACCAAAUUUUGAAAAACUCCUUAAAAUAUAGAUAUAGUUUGAGAUAGAAUUUCUUAGAGGAAUACUAAUUUCAAAGAUACCAAUUGAAGAACAUUUAAAAACUUGUUUCGAAAAAUUUUGAAAUUGGCGUGGUGGUGCGGUCCUUUUGCUUUGGGCUAAUACUCUCUCCCCCUUUGGCAUUAAUGGCCAAAAACGGAGUCUUUAGAGCCCUUUUACUUUCUCCCCAAUGGUACAAAUAAAUAUGAGUGAAGAUUAUACCAAAGUGAAGAGCGAUGCGGAGUGACGGCGAAGGGUAAUUAAUACGAUGGAGUGGAGUGGAAGUCUUGUCUUCGCCGAAGACUCCAUUUCCCUUUCAAUCUAUGACUUAGCAUAAGAAUACACUUGAAAACACAUUAGUCAUAGCACAUGAAAGAGAUAUGAUCAAAGGUAUAUAAAUGAGCUAAGUGUGCAAAGUAUCAAUCAAAAUUCUGAGAAUCAAGAAUGUUUAGCUCAUUCCUAAGUUUGGUAAAGGUUUUCUCAUCUAAUGGUUUGGUAAAGAUAUCGGCUAGUUGUUCUUUGGUGCUAACAUAAGCAAUCUCGAUAUCCCCCUUUGUUGGUGAUCCCUCAAAAAGUGAUACCGAAUGGCUAUGUGUUUAGUGCAGCUGUGCUCAACGGGAUUAUCCGCCAUGCGGAUUGCACUCUCAUUAUCACAUAGGAGAGGGACUUUGGUUAAUUUGUAGCCAUAGUCCCUAAGGGUUUGCCUCAUCCAAAGCAAUUGCGUGCAACAAUGGCCUGCGACAAUGUACUCGGCUUCGGCGGUAGAAAGAGCUACUGAAUUUUGUUUCUUUGAAACCCAAGACACCAGGGAUCUUCCCAAGAACUGACAAGUCCCUGAUGUGCUCUUUCUAUCAAUUUUACACCCUACCCAAUCAGCAUCUGAAUAACCUAUUAAAUCAAAGGUGGAUCCCUUGGGGUACCAAAGACCAAACUUAGGUGUAUGAACUAAAUAUCUCAAGAUUCGUUUUACGACCCUAAGGUGAACUUCCUUAGGAUCGGCUUGGAAUCUUGCACACAUGCAUACGGAAAGCAUAAUAUCCGGUCGAGAAGCACAUAAAUAGAGUAAAGAUCCUAUCAUCGACCGGUAUACCUUUUGAUCUACGUAUUUACCUCCCGUGUCGAGAUCGAGAUGCCCAUUGGUUCCCAUGGGUGUCUUGAUGGGCUUGGCAUCCUUCAUUCCAAACUUAGUGAGUAUGUCUUGAAUGUACUUCGUUUGACUGAUGAAGGUGCCCUCUUGGAGUUGCUUCACUUGAAAUCCUAAGAAAUACUUAAACUCCCCUAUCAUCAACAUCUCGAAUUUUUGAAUCAUUAUCCUACUAAACUCUUCACAAGUAGAUUUGUUAGUAGACCCAAAUAUGAUAUCAUCAACAUAAAUUUGGCAUACAAACAAAUCAUUUGCAAUAGUUUUAGUAAAGAGAGUAGGAUCGGCUUUGCCGACUUUGAAGCCAUUAGUGAUAAGGAAAUCUCUUAGGCAUUCAUACCAUGCUCUUGGGGCUUGCUUGAGCCCAUAAAGCGCCUUAGAGAGUUUAUACACAUGGUUAGGGUACUCACUAUCUUCAAAACCGGGAGGUUGCUCAACAUAGACCUCUUCCUUGAUUUGUCCAUUGAGGAAGGCACUUUUCACGUCCAUUUGGUAAAGCUUAAAGCCAUGGUAAGUAGCAUAUGCAAGUAAUAUGCGAAUUGACUCAAGCCUAGCUACGGGUGCAUAGGUUUCACCGAAAUCCAAACCUUCGACUUGAGAAUAUCCCUUGGCCACAAGUCGGGCUUUGUUCCUUGUCACCACACCAUGCUCAUCUUGCUUGUUGCGGAAGACCCACUUGGUUCCUACAACAUUUUGGUUAGGACAUGGAACAAGAUGCCAUACCUCAUUCCUCGUGAAGUUGUUGAGUUCCUCUUGCAUUACCAACACCCAAUCCAAAUCUCUUAAUGCAUCUUCCAUCCUGUAUGGCUCAAUAGAAGACACAAAAGAGUAAUGUUCACAAAAAUGUGCGACACGAGAUCGAGUGGUUACCCCCUUAUGAAUAUCGCCGAGGAUGGAGUUCACGGGGUGAUCUCGUUGUAUCGCUUGGUGGACUCUUGGGUGUGGCGGUCUUUGACUUUGAUCAUCUUCCUUGUCUUGAUCAACUUCAUCUCCCCCUUGAUCGUUGUCCUCCUCUUGAGGUGGCUCUUCUUGAUCUUCAUUUUCAUCAUCUUGAGCUUGGUCCUCAUCUUGAGUUGGUGGAGAUGCUUGCAUGGAAGAUGACGGUUGAUCUUGUGCUUGUGUGGGCUCUUCGGAUUCCUUAGGACACACAUCCGCAAUGGACAUGUUCCUUAGUGCGACACAUGGAGCCUCUUCAUCAUCUAUCUCAUCAAGAUCAACUUGCUCUACUUGAGAUCCAUUAGUCUCAUCAAACACAAUGUCACAAGAAACUUUAACUAGCCCCGUGGACUUGUUGAAGACUCUAUAUGCCCUUGUGUUUGAGUCAUAACCAAGUAAAAAGCCUUCUACAGCCUUAGGAGCAAAUUUAGAUUUUCUACCUCUUUUAACAAGAAUAAAACAUUGGCUACCAAAGACUCUAAAAUAUGAAACAUUGGGCUUUUUACCGGUUAGGAGUUCAUAUGAUGUCUUCUAGAGGAUUCGGUGAAGGUAGAGUCGGUUGAUGGCAUAACAAGCGGUGUUGAUUGCUUCCGCCCAAAACCAGUCUGAAGUCUUGUAUUCAUCAAGCAUGGUCCCUGCCAUGUCAAGUAGAGUUCUAUUCUUUCUCUCCACUACACCAUUUUGUUGAGGUGUGUAGGGAGAAGAGAACUCAUGCUUGAUGCCCUCAUCCUCAAGAAAGCAUUCAAUUUGAGAGUUCUUGAACUCUGUCCCAUUGUCGCUUCUAAUCUUUUUGAUCCUUAAGCUGAACUCAUUUUGAGCCCGUCUCAAGAAUCCCUUUCAGGUUUCUUGGGUUUGAGAUUUAUCCUGCAAAAAGAACACCCAAGUGAAGCGAGAAUAAUCAUCCACAAUUACAAGACAAUACUUACUCUCGCCGAUGCUUAUGUAAGCGAUCGGGCCGAAUAGAUCCAUGUGGAGUAGCUCAAGCGGCCUGUCGGUUGUCAUGAUGUUCUUGUGUGGAUGAUGAACACCAACUUGCUUCCCUGCUUGACAUGCUCUACAAACCCUGUCUUUCUCAAAAUGAACAUUUGUUAGUCCCAUAAUGUGCUCUCCCUUUAGAAGCUUGUGAAGAUUCUUCAUCCCAACAUGGGCUAGUCGACGAUGCCAGAGCCAACCCAUAUUAGUCUUAUCAAUUAAGCAAGUAUCAAGUUUAGCUCUAUUAAAAUCAACUAAGUAUAGCUGACCCUCUAAUACUCCCUUAAAUGCUACUGAAUCAUCACUUCUUCUAAAGACAGUAACACCUAUAUCCGUAAAAAGACAAUUGUAGCCCAUUUUGCAUAAUUGAGAAACAGAAAGAAAAUUGUAAUCUAAAGAAUCUACAAGAAAAACAUUGGAAAUAGAAUGGUCAGGUGAUAUAACAAUUUUACCAAGUCCUUUGACCAAACCUUGAUUUCCAUCCCCGAAUGUGAUAGCUCUUUGGGGAUCUUGGUUUUUCUCAUAGGAGGAGAACAUUCUUUUCUCCCUAGUCAUGUGGUUUGUGCACCCGCUAUCAUUGAUCCAACUUGAGCCCCCGGAUGCAUAAACCUACAAAACAAGUUUAGGCCUUAUUCUUAGGUACCCAAAUGGUCUUGGGUCCUUUCACAUUAGAAACAAGCACCUUGGGUACCCAAACACAAGUCUUGGAGCCCUUGUGUUUGCCCCUAAUAUAUUUGGCAACUACUUUGCCUGAUUUGUUAGUUAAAACAUAAGAAGCAUCAAAAGUCUUAAAUGAAACAUUAGGUUCAUUUGAUGCAAUAGGAGAUUUUUUUAGGCAAUUUAACAUGAGUGGAUUGCCGAGAACUAGAUGCCUCACUCUUAUACAUAAAAGCAUGAUGAGAGCCAGAGUGAGACUUCCUAGAAUGAAUUCUCCUAAUCUUAUGCUCGGGAUAACUAGCAGGAUAUAAAAUAUAACCCUCGUUAUCCUAAACCAUGGGAGCUUUUCCCUUAACAAAGUUAGACAAUUUUUUAGGGGCAUUAAGCUUGACAUUGUCUCCCUGUUGGAAGCCAAUGCCAUCCUUAAUGCCAGGGCGUCUCCCACUAUAGAGCAUACUUCUAGCAAAUUUAAAAUUUUCAUUUUCUAAGUCAUGCUCAUCAAUUUUAGCACUAAGUUGAGCUAUGUGAUCAUUUUGUUGUUUAAUUAAAGCUAGGUGAUCAUGGAUAGCAUCAACAUUAAUGUCUCUAUAUCUAGUACAAAUGGAAACAUGGCUAACAGUAGAUGUAGAGGGUUUACAAGCAUUUAAUUCAUCAAUCUUAGCAUGUAACAUGGCAUUCUCAUUUCUAAGAUUGGAAAUAGAAUCAUUGCAAACAUUUAAGUCCUUAGCCUUAGCAAUUAAAUUAUCAUUUUCAAUCUUAAGGCUAGAAAGAGAUUCAUUCAACUUGUCAAUUUUAGCAAUCAAACUAGUAUUAUCAUUUUUAAGGUUGACCAGAGAAUCAUCACAAACAUUUGAUUUCUCAAUCUUAGCAAUUAAUUUUGCAUUCUCAUUUCUAAGGUUGGAUAUAGUAUCAUGGCAAAUGCUAAGCUCACUAGUCAAUUUUUCACAUUUUUCUAUUUCCUGAGCAUAAGCAUUUUUAACCUUAACAUGCUUCUUGUUUUCUUUAAUAAGGAAGUCCUGUUGGCUAUCCAAGAGUUCAUCCUUCUCAUGAAUAGCACUAAUUAAUUCAUUCAAUUUUUCUUUUUGUUGCAUGUUAAGAUUGGCAAAAAGUGUGAGCAAAUCAUCCUCAUCAUCACUAGAGCUAGCCUCAUCACUAGAUGUUGCAUAUUUAGUAGAAGCUCUAGAUUUUACCUUCUUCUUUUUACCAUCCUUUGCCAUGAGACACUUGUGGCCGACGUUGGGGAAGAGAAGGCCUUUGUUGAUGGCGAUGUUGGUGGCAUCCUCGUCGGAGGAGGAGUCGGUCGUGCUUUCGUCGGAAUCCCAUUCUCGACAUACGUGGGCAUCGCCGCCCUUCUUCUUGUAGUACCUCUUCUUUUCCCUCCUCCUUCCCUUCUUGUCGUCGCCCCUGUCACUGUCACUUGAUAUAGGACAUUUAGCUAUAAAGUGACCGGGCUUACCACACUUGUAGCAAACCUUCUUGGAACGGGGUUUGUAGUCUCUCCCCUUCCUUUGCUUGAGGAUUUGGCGAAAGCUCUUGAUGAUGAGCGCCAUCUUCUCGUUGUCGAGCUUGGAGGCGUUGAUGGGGAGCCUACUUGACAUAGACUCUUCUUUCUUCUCCUCCGUCGCUUUGAAGGCGACAGGUUGCACCUCGGGUGUGGAGGUGGCGUCUCGCUCGAUGAUUUGUUUGGAGCCUUUGAUCAUCAAUUCAAAGCUCACAAACUUUUCUAUAACUUCCUUGGGAGACAUUAGCUUAUCUCUAAGAUCACCACGAAUUAAUUGAACUUGAGUAGGAUUAAUAAAAACAAGUGAUCUUAGAAUAACCUUGACCAUUUCAUGGUCAUCCCAUUUUGUGCUCCCGAGGUUGCGCACUUGAUUCACCAAGGUCUUGAGCCGGUUGUACAUGGCUUGUGGCUCCUCCCCUUGGUUGAGCAUGAAUCGACCGAGCUCCCCCUCGAUCGUUUCCCGCUUGGUGAUCUUGGUCACCUCAUCUCCUUCGUGCGCGAUCUUGAGCACAUCCCAAAUCUCUUUGGCACUCUUCAACCCUUGCACCUUAUUAUACUCCUCUCGAUUUAGAGAGGCGAAGAGUAUAGUAGUGGCUUGGGAGUUGAAGUGCCGAAUUUGGUCAACCUCCUCCGAAUCAUAGUCCUUGUCCCUUUUCUUCGGUACAUGCGCUCCAUACUCAACAAUAUCUCAUAUGCUUUUGUGGAGUGAGGUUAGGUGAUGCCUCAUUUUAUCACUCCACAUAGAAUAAUCUUCACCUUCAAAAAUCGGUGGUUUGCCUAAUGGGAUGGAAAGUAAUGGAGUGCGUUUUGAAAUACGAGGAUAGCGGAGGGGCAUCUUACUAUACUUCUUGCGCUCAUGGCGCUUAGAAGUGACGGACGUCGAUUCGGAGCCGGAUGUGGAGGGUGACGAAGAGUCGGUCUCGUAGUAGACCACUUUCUUCAUCUUCUUCUUCUUGUCAACUCUCCGUUGUGACUUGAUGGAGGAAGAGGAUUCCUCCUUGUGCUUGUGGCUGGACUCCCUUGAGUGGCUUCUCCCCGAGCUUGCGGACUAGUCGCCGCCGGUCCCGAUCUCCCUCUUGGCGGAUGCUCCCGACAUCAGUUCGAGUGGUUAGACUCUAAUGAAGCACUAGGCUCUUAUAACAAUUGAAAGUCGCCUAAAGGGGGGGUGAAUAGGCAAAUCUGAAAUUUAUAAACAUUAAGCAGAACUACAAGCCGGGGUUAGCGUUAGAAAUAAAGUCGAGUCCGAAAGAGAGGGCGAAAACAAAUCACAAGCAAAUGAAAGCGGAUGACAUGGUGAUUUGUUUUACCGAGGUUUGGUUCUUGCAAACCUACUCCCCGUUGAGGUGGUCACAAAGACCGGGUCUCUUUCAACCCUUUCCCUCUCUCAAACGGUCACCUAGACCGAGUGAGCUUUUCUCCUUAAUCAACGGGUCACUUAGACCCCUUACAAGGACCACCACAACUUGGUGUCUCUUGCUUGAUUACAAGUUGCUUGAGAACAAGAAUGGAGGAAGAAGAAAAGCGAUCCAAGCGACAAGAACUCAAAUGAACAUGAAUAUCUCUGUCUCACUAGCCACUAAGUGUUUGGAGUGAAUUUGGACUUGGAGAGGAUUUGAUCUCUUGAUUUGUGUCUUGGAGUGAAGUCUAGAGCUCUUGUAUUGAAUGCAAUGGCUGAAAACUUGGAUGCCUUGAAGUGUGGUGGUUGGGGGUAUUUAUAGCCUCAACCACCAAAAUGGCCGUUGGGGAGGCUGUCAGUCGAUAGGCGCACCGGACACUGUCCGGUGCGCCAGCCACGUCACCCAACCGUUAGUGUUCGACCGUUAGAGUUCUGACAGUCUGGGCUACCGGACAGUCCGGUGUGCCUUCUGGCAUCUGCUCUGACUCUGCGCGAACUGUCCGCGCACUGUAGCGCACUGUUCACCUUUUGCAGACGACCAUUGGCGCUGUAGCCAUUGCUCCGCAUGGCACACCGGACAGUCCGGUGAAUUAUAGCGGAGUGGCUUUUCCAGAAACCCGAAGGUGGCGAGUUCGAGUUGAUCCACCCUGGUGCACCGGACACUGUCCGGUGCGCCAGACCAGGGCAGUCUUCGGUUUCUUUUGCUCCUUUUUUUUGAACCCUAUCUUGGACUUUUUAUUGGUUUGUGUUGAAUCUUUGGCACCUGUAGAACUUAUAAUCUAGAGAAAACUAGUUAGUCCAAUUAUUUGUGUUGGGCAAUUCAACCACCAAAAUCAUUUAGAAAAAGGUUUGAGCCUAUUUCCCUUUCACACGCGCGACAGGUGAGAAAACUAAAUAGGUGACACGCUUAUACUAAACAAAUGUUAAAUAAAUAGAAAGUAGUUAAGUUAAUAUUUACCAUGUUAAUAUUUAUUAUAAAAUCUCAAGUGGAACACUACACAUUUAAUCUAGUUAGAAUAUUAAUCUAAUAAAUAUUAGUGAAACGAACUUUAAGUUAAUUAUCUAAAAUAUAUAACAUGAUGAAUUAACCUUACUAACAUGAGUGUUUAUAAGCGAAAAACAAUUUAUUAUCACAUGCAGACGUCGCGCGACACACGCAAACAGCGCGUGCGACACUCGCGAACGACACGCGACAACAUGCGUGAAACAGCAUUGCGGCACGCGAGACAAUGCGCACGACAGCGCGCGACACACGUGAGUCAACGCGACUACACGCAAACGAUGUCGUGCGCGAACAACAACAAACAAAUAAUUAAUUACAGGUAUUUAAGCUGGUAUUAAUCAAGUUAAUUAACAUUUAUAUUUAUAAAAGCUCGAGUUAAAAACUACAACAUAGUUUUAGUUACAAGGUCGUUUUUUAAUAACUAUAUAAUACCGAAUCGGUAGAUAAUUAAUUAAUCAAUUAAACUUGCGACAUGACUAGAUAACAUUACUACUACAAAAUCGACGUUGCUACAGAGUUGACGCGACUGAAGCGAAUAAAAAAGGGUUUAUGGCGCAUUAUAUAUUGAAUAGCUAACAAUUUAUGGCUAAUAAACAAUUUUAUUAAAGUGCUCGAAUCACGACUCGCGCGAACGACGACACGUGAACAACAUGCGCGAACGUCGUGCGGAUAGAACAUGCGAGAAUUACUAACUAAAUGUUGUUUUUAUACUAAACACUAAAUAAAUAUUAAAUACAACAUCUAAGUUGUUAAAAUCACAUUACCACAUAUUUACAAUCGCAUAACUAAAAUCAUAAUUUUGAUCCGAUUGAAUAUUCAAUUUAAUGACCGCCAACUAAGUAGGAAAUUAAUUAUCGCAGGGGGAUAGACGCGGGAUUCUCACCUUGCGACGACGGCGGACGGUGAGGCAAGUCGACGACGUGCUGUGCGCACGACGUACAACACGAGCGACGGUGAGGCUGCAGCUACGCCACAUAGACUGCACCAGGGUUGCCAUGGGCACAUCGCGUAGGCUACGCCGAGCGAGCCAUGGCGUAGCUGCCGCGGGCAAGCUGCGCAGGCUGCCAUGGGAAAGCCGCGAAGGCCGCCGCGCAAGGCCGCGAACAGCCGCGUCGGGAGUACAGGGCUACACUACGGGCGACCAGGCUGCAUCGGAGGGAGCGCAGGGGGCGGAGUAGGCUGGCCAUGGCUGCUCGACUGCCGGGAUUGGAAGGGGAGGGAGGAAAAAAAGGUAGACGACGAGGAGGCGAAGAUGGGCAGCACGGCACCAACGGAUGGCACGAUGGCGGAGGUGAGCGGCGUGCUGGCCGUUUUCCUGGCUCAAGGCAGGAUGUGGGGAGACGGGGCGCAGUUUUGCGCGAGAGAUGGGCAAAGGGGCACGUCGUGCGGCGUUUGUGGGCAGGCCAUGCAGCGCAUGCAAACAGCAUUCAAGGGAGCAGUUUUCCGGGUUUUUUUGGGUCGUGGGCGCUGCUCAUGCUGCAUGUGCGGCUGGGCGACCGAGCGAGCGUGGACGGCAGCGGGGAAUGGGCCACGCGCGCGCAUGGGUCAGGGGCGCGGAGGCAGCGGCUGGGGCGCGCUGGGCUACGCGGGCGCCACACGCUGGGCCGUGGAGGGGCGCGAGGCGGCCUGGGCAAGGGUGGGCUGCGCGCGAGAGGUGGGCCGAGGGGGCGUGUUGCGCUGGUGCGGCUGCCUGGGCUGAGGUGGGCCACGCGCGCGCUGCUGGGCAGCGGUUGCGCGUGGGCCGGGGCAGGCCAACGGAGUGGCGCUGGGCCGCGGGAGGGGAGCUGGCACUGGGUGGGCUGGUAGGGGGAAAGGGGAGGAAAGGGUUUUCGCUUUUCUCUAUUUUCCUUAUUUCUUUUGCUAUUGUGUAUUUAGGUCUUGGUUUAUAAAUUUUGAAAUUCAAAUGAACUUUGAGAAUUUUGAAUGAGUGCCAAGUCACCACAUAUGAACAUACCAAGGAGACUGCUAUUCCGACUGGCUAUGUAACAAACAAUGCCCCUGUAGGGUUUUACUAUACUAGGCUUACACAUCAAUAUAAAAAAUAAUUCUUCACUAUUUAGAAAAAGAAAAGAAAAGCGAGGAAUGAGAGGGUAACACCUGACGAGUAUGUGGAGUCUGUGAAGUCGCAUGUGGUGUCUACUGAGCAGGAUGUUGCGCCCCUCCAGGAUGAGCUGGUGUACCCUAGGGUGGAACAUAGCGAGGACAGAUGCUACUGCUCCCCUACCCCUGGGUGAUAGCCUUCCUCUUCAUCUUGCCCAGCUGAACACGUUUGUGUUCAACAACUAUAGCCUUGUCGAGAAGCCUCUGGAAAGAUGGGAAGGUGUGAGAUACCAGUUGAUACUGAAGUGGCCCAACAAGUCCCUCCAUGAAAUGCUCCUGCUUCCUUUCAUCAUCAGCAACCUCAUUUGGAGCAUACCUUGUUAGCUGAAUAAAUUUAUCAUGAUAUUCACUUACUGACAUGUUGCCUUGCUUCAGUGAUAAGAAUUCCUUCUUCUUUAUUUUCAUCAGGCCAGCAGGAAUAUGGUAGUUUCUGAAUUGUGUAGAAAAUUCUACACAGGUAAUAGUGUUGGUAGCAGCAUGGGCAGCAAUGUAGGAGUCCCAAUAAUCAGCAGCGGGGCUAGUGAGAUGAUCCGAAGCAUAGAGCACCUUCUCCCGAUCAGUGCAUUGAGCGAUAUUAAGCAUCUUCUCCACUGAUUUCAGUCAAUCAUCAUCAUGUAGAGGAUCUAUAGAGCUGGAGAAUGUAGGUGGCUUGUGACUCAUGAAUUCUCGGUGCUUGUCCCAGGGUGGAGCUGGUGGUGGUGGUGGAAGUAGUGGUGGUUGUUGCUGCAGUUCCAAUCGUUCUUGCCUCAUCUCUUCUCGCAUCUCCUGCCGUUCCUGACACAUCUCCUGGCAUUCUUGCCUCAUCUGAGCUUGCAUUUCAUUCAUCGUGUUUGCUAUCUGCUGUAGCAGCUGCAUCUGAGCGGCAGCCACUGGAUCUGUCCCAACCGGUGGAGGGUUUGGUGGAGAACUCAUCUCUGGUUGCGGUUGGUUGAUAAUCCUCCAGCUAUGGUGGUUGGCAGGUAGAUCAAUUCUGCCUCCCUUCCUGGUAUUGACCAUCUGAGUUAGAAACACGUGGUAAGAUAGAAUUGUAGAGAAGACAAGUCAUUACGAGACAUGAUCUUUUGGGGGUUUUAUUAGCUCAGUUUAUUAGUGUGUCACCUACUAAUACUAAUAUAUUACCUUAUGGUGGUACAUGCUAGAAUGCCCUGCUAUACUAUUUCAGUCAAUCAAAGAAGCAAAUCAUGCAUUUAUCAUCAGAACAAACAUCCAAACACUUUAUAUAUAUAUAUAUAUAUAUAUAUAUAUAUAUAUAUAUAUAUGUGUGUGUGUGUGUGUGUGUGUGUGUGUGUGUCUUAGGUCUCCUAUCUCUUUAAGAGGUCUUAGAUGUAGGAUUGUAAGGUGUGGAAUCCUUCUUUUCUUUCUAGAGUAGAAAAGAUAAGAAUAGUCAGAGUAAAACAACAAAAGGUGAGACAGGAUCAAGAUAAGUAUAGAAAGAAUCAGAGUAAAGGUUAAGUAGGUAAGAGUUUUGUCCAGUUCUAUCUAGGUUUCAUCGUACAGUCAACAUUUGCUCUGAUACCAAUUCUAUCACACCCGGAAUUAAGGGAUAAAGCCAGGUGCGUCUCAUAUGUGUACCAAAGAAGAACAUCACAUAUAAUGACAAAGUGUAUAGAGAUAAAUGUCACAAUCAUUAUUACAUAGCGGAAGAGUCUUACAAAAAUAAAUGAUAACAAUAAAACGAACUAAAUAAUUAUUCCUUGAGACCAUCAAGCUGACUGGGAGACGCCACCUAGAUUAGCUCAUACUCCUCAUUGUAGGCCUCCUCCUGGACCACUUGUUCUUCUCCUGUGGGGGGGUUAUAUAUCACAAGGGUUAGCUCACAAAAGAUCAUAGCUCAACAAGUUGUGGGGAAUAAUAUGCAUGAACUCAUCAAAGGUGGGAGUUCAUGUGGAGUGUAUGGCUGAUCAACAAAUAAUGGUUAAAGUUGUGCAUUGCUUUUAAUAAGUUGGUCAAAUUUUAUUAGUAGUUACUACAUGUAAGUAUAUACCGAACCAGAGUAAUAAUAUAUCAAAAUUGAUAAUAAACCACAAUACGAUGUAAAUGACCAGUUACAUUUAAUUCCAUAAGUUACUCAUGUGAGGGUCCAAGCCGCUCAUGACUGUUAGCACGGCUGAUAUAGUAAUUUUACACUCUAUAGAGGUUGCACAUCUUUACCCACAAGUCGUGUUACCCAUAUGCCAAGGGGUCAUGAAUCUCAUACACCUCUACCAAGGAAGCAAGGCAGGGUAACACUAUGAGGCCUUUACAAAGUUCCACUAGCUUCAGAAAACCCGUUAUAGUUUCUAGGGAGCGCAGCAUAGGAAUCCCUCGUCUGAAAAGCCAUCACAACAAAAUCAACCCGAGAACCUCCCGAUACCAACCACUCCCCUACUACCCUUACCCCUUUGGGGUAAGGUAGUCCUCCACUAGCUUUCCUAAUUAGUCAACCAAGGGUGUCCCAUACCACCCUUGUGGUAGCACUGUUUUCCUGGGUGGUCGCUCCAUGUUCCAAUUAACAUAAUGAUCUUGUCAUGAACAGUAAAUAACAAAUUGAUAAUAACAGCAUGAUCAUGAAUAAUGUGUAUCUUAACACCCAAAACCACAUAAAGCAAUAGAAGGUACUACCCAAAAAUUCAGUGGUAAACAUGGUAUAAAGAUAGCUAAACUAGGGUGACCUAUUGGGUCCCAUCAAAUUUGAUCUAUGCAGAUCAUAAUGAUUAACAGGAACAUUAUUGGGUAAAUAGAAGUCAUCAAGGGCACAACUUGCCUUCAACGAGCUCCUGCUCAACAGUUUCCACCUGCUGAGCUUCUGAGUCCUCAGUCACUUGCCCGUCUACUCGCAACAAUACAAGAAAACAUGGUACAUGAGAAAUUAACAUCACGCCAAACAUGAGAACAACUUGCAUCAUAAUAUUCUACGCAUCGUAACGAGAUCGUAGGUUUGUCACACCCAGGUUUUAGCGACCCGGGCGCGAACAUAAUCACCAGGUGUGCUAGGACCAAGUCUCACACAUAUGAUGAAUCAUGGUACGAAACGAAUGUUACAACUUUACUAUAUAAUAGGAGUUUCUAUACAAAAUAAAUAAAUAAUUACAUCAUAAGGAGACAACGAUCCAGCAACCCAAAGUUGACUGGGAGAUGACGGCCUAGACCUCUCACAAACACAUCACAACAUCUUUCAUGUUGGGGACUUGUUCUCAAAUGCUAUGAGUUAAGAACAAGGCAACUCAAAAAUGUUAAUGGUCAAAGACCUUCGUCCUUCGAAGCAUUAUCUCCCUUAGGAUAUAAUGAUCUUCAGACGAAGGUUAUGAAGGACAUACCUUAAUCAUCUCAGUAUGUAAUAAUGAAAGUAGGAACAUAAGAAACAUAGAAAAUAACAUGAAUAAUCACAUUAAAUCAUCAUAUUAUUCAUAUACUCAUUAUCCAAUCAUGGACAAAUAUUAACAACAGUAAAUUACAUUUGUACCUUCGGCUUGACAGAAGGUAAGAAAUCAAAUGCGACGUGCGAGUGAAAACAAGUCAGCGUGAACAGUACGGGGGUAUUGUUCAUCUAUUUAUAGGCAUGGGAUGCAGCCCGAACAAAAUUACAUUUGUGUCCUUGAUAACUAAUCACAACCAUGACACAAGUUAUCAUGGACUAAAUGGUCUUUUAAUCUUUAAGUCGGUGCUGCCCUUUGUCUUAAGGCACGUCGUCAUGCCGAAGCUCCCUGAAUUGUAGCUUCGGCUUAUACCUUCAUGUUGUGUCUGCUUGCAUAUCACCCUACCGAAGGUGUUUUUGCUUGGAGGACCUUCGGCGAAGAAGAAGGCCCCCAACACUUCAUGCACCUCAUCCUGCGGUACCUGUUCUUGACCUGUGGGGGGGUGUGAGACAGCAAGGGUGAGCUCACAUACGUUCAUAGCUCAACAAGUUGUGGGGAAUAAUGUGCAUGAACUCGCCAAAGGUGGGAGCUCAUGUGAAGUGUAAGGCUUACCAAAGAGAAUGGUUAAAGCUGAGCAUUGCUUUUAAAGUUGGUCAAAAUUUUAUUAGCAAUUACUAAAUGUAAGUAAAUACCAAACCAUAAUAAUAAUAGAACAAAAUUAAUAAUGAAUCCCAUGCAAUGCAAAUGAAAAAUUGAAUUUAGUUCCAUAAUUUAAUCAUGCGAGAGUCUUGACCUGCUCAUGACCGUGAGCACGGCUAGUAUACCAGUUUUACACUCUGCAGAGGUUGUACCCUGUACCCACAAGUCCUGUAUCCCAUGUCACCACGGUUUGCAAGGCCCUUAGACACUUCCGAGGUGAAUGGCUAGGGAUCCACUACAAGGCCUUUACAAAGUUCCACUAGCUUCCGAAAACCCGCUACAGUUUCUAAGAAGAACAAUGUAGGAAUCCCUCAUCUGACCGCCAUCAUAGACAACCUCCCUACAAGCCUACUCCCCUACUGCCCUUGCCCCUUUCAGGUAAGGUAGUCUUGCACUAGCUUUCCUAAUUAGUCAGCCAAGGGUGUCCCAUUUCACCCUUGUGGUGGCACGUGUUUCUCAAGUUAAGCUCCAUGUUCCAAUUAAAAAUAAUGAUCUUGACAUCAAUUAUAAAUAAAAUAAAAGAAUAAUUGGAACAUGGACAUAAUGUAAUAUUAAACCCAAAAUCAUAUAAAGCAAUAUCAAAAGUACCCAAAUAGUUCAGGGGUAAACAAGGUAACAAGAUAUCCAAACUAGCGUGACCUAUUGGGUCCCAUCAAAAUUAAGCCUAUGCAUGAAUAAGUGAUAAUAAAGAACAUUAUUGGGUAAAUAGAAGUGGUCAAGGGCACAACUUGCCUGGGACUUGAGAUUCCAUGUACCAGGAUGAUCCUCAGAUUCUCGUGACCUCACUGCUAGUCGUAGCAAUACAGACAAACAUGGUAUAGGCAAAAGUAACAUCACAUCAAACAUAAGUACAAACUGAAUAAUAAUGAUCUACGCGAUGCUACGAGAUCGUGGGAAUGAGAAUCACUAAAUUCGGAGUUACGGUUAUAAAGUUAUGGUUUAUGGAAGAUCUACGUGAUUUAAAUAUUAAACUAUAUUAUGAAUUGAUUAGGGUACACCAUAUGAGAGAAUAUUUUAUAAAUAGUUAACUCAACUUUAAUCUAAGUCAUUACUUUAUUAUAAAUCAUCUUUUAGGCCAAAGAUAACCCUAAGAUCAUGAUACUAUAUUAAUAUUAGACUAGGUAUAUGCCCGUGCAUUGCUACGGAAUCAAUAUGAUAAAAUCCAUAGAUAUGUAAAAACACUAAUUGUUAUUCUAUAUUCUUGCUAGCAUCACUCAUAUUGGAUGUUUACAUACUUAAAAGAUAUAACAAAGUGUCUGUUCAUUGCUAUAGAGAUGAGUGUGAAAGUGGUUUCAAGGAAACAACCAUACAAUGCAAUACUAAAAUAGAAAAUAACAAUUAAAAAUCUACAACAAAACAUAACGUAAAGAUAAAUAAUGUAUGAAACAUGCCAUCGUGGAAUAACAUCUUUACUCUUUGACUCUUUGUUGAUGGUUCCAAGUGCAGGAGUACUUGGAGAACUGAUCCUAAGUCUCUGACCAUCAGAAAGACGCACUACCGUCGAUCAGUUUCAACGAUGCAG
RNAcentral lists this long non-coding RNA (20315 nucleotides) under Zea mays. Its description in RNAcentral is "long non-coding RNA (ZMAY_LNC003233)". Lineage: Eukaryota; Viridiplantae; Streptophyta; Magnoliopsida; Poales; Poaceae. The record is from RNAcentral.